UCGAGAAUUUUUCACAAUGGGGGAAACCCUGAUGGAGCGACGCCGCGUGGAGGACGAAGGCCUUCGGGUUGUAAACUCCUGUCAUGCGGGAACAAGAAAGUGAUAGUACCGCAAGAGGAAGAGACGGCUAACUCUGUGCCAGCAGCCGCGGUAAUACAGAGGUCUCGAGCGUUGUUCGGAUUCAUUGGGCGUAAAGGGUGCGUAGGUGGCGAUGUAAGUCUGGUGUGAAAUUUCGGGGCUCAACCUCGAAACUGCAUUGGAUACUGCGUUGCUAGAGGAUUGUAGAGGAGAGUGGAAUUCACGGUGUAGCAGUGAAAUGCGUAGAUAUCGUGAGGAAGACCAGUUGCGAAGGCGACUCUCUGGGCAAUUCCUGACACUGAGGCACGAAGGCUAGGGGAGCAAACGGG
This 407-nucleotide ribosomal RNA is filed under the name uncultured bacterium. Its description in RNAcentral is "bacterial SSU rRNA". It matches the Rfam family "Bacterial small subunit ribosomal RNA", at positions 355 to 776 of the family's 1533-position model. The record is from RNAcentral.